AUUAUAUUUGAAUAAUAACCUUGUAUAAGUUCAGGAAUAUGGCCUGAGCGUUUCUACCAGCUACCAUAAAUAGCUUGUCUACAAGGAUAGUGAUGAUUGAA
RNAcentral lists this non-coding RNA (101 nucleotides) under Bacillus sp. (in: firmicutes). RNAcentral's name for it is "Bacillus sp. Guanine sequence". It matches the Rfam family "Purine riboswitch aptamer". Rfam says of the family: Riboswitches are metabolite binding domains within certain messenger RNAs that serve as precision sensors for their corresponding targets. Lineage: Bacteria; Bacillati; Bacillota; Bacilli; Caryophanales; Bacillaceae. The record is from RNAcentral. RNAcentral also lists the same sequence under 1 other name.